CAGGUGCAUGGGGGUGCAUAUGACAUUGUUGCGGAGAAAUAAGAGGCACUCGCGUGCAUGGGAGGCAAUGUUGGAAGCAAUUCAUCACACGGAACCAUUCCAUCGGAGGAGAAAUGGUUCUCUCCAUACAUUGUAAUUGUAUUGGUCUUCGUCUGUUUUCAUAAUUAUAUUUUGGUUUUUCAUCCACGACAUCCGAGAAAUUACAUAACAAGGUGGUUUCCAAGCUUCACAUUCCUGGUGAUGGCUUGGCUCAACUGUGUAGUGGAGAUUCCUCUUCUUUGUUAA
Molecule: non-coding RNA, 285 nt
Organism: Lolium perenne
Lineage: Eukaryota; Viridiplantae; Streptophyta; Magnoliopsida; Poales; Poaceae
Source: RefSeq, a predicted model, not a curated record